Musa acuminata subsp. malaccensis (wild Malaysian banana) is the source of this 498-nucleotide long non-coding RNA. RefSeq lists it as uncharacterized. The record is from RefSeq and is a predicted model, not a curated record. NCBI's taxonomy places the organism in Eukaryota, Viridiplantae, Streptophyta, Magnoliopsida, Zingiberales, Musaceae.
UCUGAGCUUCCUACUUUACAAAGCCACCAUCUUUGAUGCUAAACAAACAGGUGGCUGCAGUCUGUGGGCAAAGGCAUCCAUGGAAGCCACCUUCUUCAUUUUAGUAGCUAUGCUUACAUCCAUGAACUGAGGAAACGCUGCAAGGAAAUGGAGAGGAAGAAGACAGAUGGUGGUGUGGCCACAGAGGAGAAGAGCUCCAAGGGAAGAGUUCAUCCUAGUGACACCCCUUCACCAGUGUAUAGUGAAGAACGAGGUGAAGGUAAUUGUUGGAGAAGCUCGUUCACCAAAUAAAUCCCCAAAAAAGAAAGAUGAUGAAUUAUUGGGUGUUGAUGGGGGGCUUGUUUUACAUUUAGACAAUGCUAUGUCCACAUAUAUAUAUUUUGCCUUCCAAUGUUCCAAGUCUCUUUAGUAGGGAAAUGUGGGAGGAAUAAUCAUCCAAUUGUUUUCUUUUUCUCUACCUACGUACGACAGAAAUAGAUGUUGCUUUCAUUAUUAACA